UACAGAGGGGGCAAGCGUUGUUCGGAAUUACUGGGCGUAAAGGGCGCGUAGGCGGCCUUCUAAGUCGAACGUGAAAUCCCCAGGCUCAACCCGGGAACUGCGUCCGAUACUGGAGGGCUUGAAUCCGGGAGAGGGAUGCGGAAUUCCAGGUGUAGCGGUGAAAUGCGUAGAUAUCUGGAGGAACACCGGUGGCGAAGGCGGCAUCCUGGACCGGUAUUGACGCUGAGGCACGAAGGCCAGGGGAGCAAACGGG
RNAcentral lists this ribosomal RNA (253 nucleotides) under uncultured bacterium. RNAcentral's name for it is "partial 16S ribosomal RNA". It matches the Rfam family "Bacterial small subunit ribosomal RNA", at positions 524 to 776 of the family's 1533-position model. The record is from RNAcentral.